CACGUAGGCUGUUUGGUAAGUCAGGGGUGAAAUCCCGCGGCUCAACCGCGGAAUUGCCCUUGAUACUGCUGGACUUGAGUCCGGGAGAGGGUGGCGGAAUUCCAGGUGUAGGAGUGAAAUCCGUAGAUAUCUGGAGGAACAUCAGUAGCGAAGGCGGCCACCUGGACCGGUACUGACGCUGAGGUGCGAAAGCGUGGGGAGCAAACA
RNAcentral lists this ribosomal RNA (207 nucleotides) under uncultured bacterium. RNAcentral describes it as "partial 16S ribosomal RNA". It matches the Rfam family "Bacterial small subunit ribosomal RNA", at positions 568 to 774 of the family's 1533-position model. The record is from RNAcentral.